GUUGUUGUGGUUAAAAAGCUCGUAGUUGGAUCUCAACAGCCUUGAAAGCGGUUAACUUUGUAGUUUUACUGCUUUAUAGGCUGUGCUUUUGCUGGAGGUUUAGGGGUGCUCUUGAUCGAGUGUCUCUGGAUGCCAGCAGGUUUACUUUGAAAAAAUUAGAGUGCUCAAAGCAGGCUAAAAUGCCUGAAUAUUCGUGCAUGGAAUAAUAGAAUAGGAUGUCGAUCCUAUUUUGUUGGUUUUCGGGACUCGACAUAAUGAUAAAUAGGGACAGUCGGGGGCAUUUGUAUUCAAACGACAGAGGUGAAAUUCUUGGACCGUUUGAAGACAAACUACUGCGAAAGCAUUUGCCAAGAAUGUUUUCAUUAAUCAAGAACGAAAGUUAGAGGUUCGAAGGCGAUUAGAUACCGCCCUAGUUCUAACCAUAAACGAUGCCAGCUAGCGAUCUGCCUGCGUUUUUACUGUAGACUGGGCAGGAAGCUUCCGGGAAACCAAAGCAUUUGGGUUCCAGGGGAAGUAUGGUUGCAAAGCUGAAACUUAAAGGAAU
RNAcentral lists this ribosomal RNA (544 nucleotides) under uncultured marine eukaryote. RNAcentral's name for it is "SSU rRNA". It matches the Rfam family "Eukaryotic small subunit ribosomal RNA", at positions 609 to 1153 of the family's 1831-position model. The record is from RNAcentral.